AGUGAACGCUGGCGGUAGGCCUAACACAUGCAAGUCGAACGGCAGCACAGUAAGAGCUUGCUCUUACGGGUGGCGAGUGGCGGACGGGUGAGGAAUACAUCGGAAUCUCCUUUUUCGUGGGGGAUAACGUAGGGAAACUUACGCUACUACCGCAUACGACCUACGGUUGCAAGCAGGGGAUCUUCGGUCCUUGCACGAUUGAAUGAGCCGAUGUCGGAUUAGCUAGUUGGCGGGGUAAAGGCCCACCAAGGCGACGAUCCGUAGCUGGUCUGAGAGGAUGAUCAGCCACACUGGAACUGAGACACGGUCCAGACUCCUACGGGAGGCAGCGGUGGGGAAUAUUGGACAAUGGGCGCAAGCCUGAUCCAGCCAUACCGCGUGGGUGAAGAAGGCCUUCGGGUUGUAAAUCCCUUUUGUUGGGAAAGAAAAGCAGCAGGUUAAUACCCCGCUGUGCUGACGGUACCCAAAGAAUAAGCACCGGCUAACUUCGUG
RNAcentral lists this ribosomal RNA (492 nucleotides) under uncultured bacterium. RNAcentral describes it as "partial 16S ribosomal RNA". It matches the Rfam family "Bacterial small subunit ribosomal RNA", at positions 29 to 507 of the family's 1533-position model. The record is from RNAcentral.